GGAGGGAUGCCCGAGUGGCUAAAGGGGCGGACUGUAAAUCCGCUGGCGUACGCCUACGUUGGUUCGAAUCCAACUCCCUCCACCA
This 85-nucleotide transfer RNA is filed under the name Acetobacter orientalis. Its description in RNAcentral is "tRNA-Tyr". It matches the Rfam family "tRNA". Rfam says of the family: Transfer RNA (tRNA) molecules are approximately 80 nucleotides in length. Their secondary structure includes four short double-helical elements and three loops (D, anti-codon, and T loops). Lineage: Bacteria; Pseudomonadati; Pseudomonadota; Alphaproteobacteria; Acetobacterales; Acetobacteraceae. The record is from RNAcentral.